GAUGAACGCUGGCGGCGUGCCCAAUACAUGCAAGUCGAACGCUGGAGAUCUAGCUUGCUAGAUCGAAGGAGUGGCGAACGGGUGAGUAAUACAUAAGCAACCUACCCACGAAGACUGAGAUAAUCUCUGGAAACGGGGACUAAUACCGGAUAGGUAAUCGGAAGGCAUCUUCUGGUUAUUAAAGGUUAAAAACACUGGUGGAUGGGCUUAUGGCGCAUUAGUUAGUUGGUGAGGUAACGGCCCACCAAGACGAUGAUGCGUAGCCGGCCUGAGAGGGUGAACGGCCACAUUGGGACUGAGACACGGCCCAGACUCCUACGGGAGGCAGCAGUAGGGAAUUUUCGGCAAUGGGGGCAACCCUGACCGAGCAACGCCGCGUGAGUGAAGACGGCCUUCGGGUUGUAAAGCUCUGUUGUAAGGGAAGAACGGUAGAUAGAGAAUAUCUAAGUGACGGUACCUGACCAGAAAGCCACGGCUAACUACGUG
Molecule: ribosomal RNA, 486 nt
Filed under: uncultured bacterium
Lineage: Bacteria
Description: partial 16S ribosomal RNA
Rfam family: Bacterial small subunit ribosomal RNA
Source: RNAcentral